AUUGAACGCUGGCGGAAUGCUUUACACAUGCAAGUCGAACGGCAGCACGGACUUCGGUCUGGUGGCGAGUGGCGAACGGGUGAGUAAUGUAUCGGAACGUGCCCAGUCGUGGGGGAUAACGUAGUGAAAAUUACGCUAAUACCGCAUACGAUCUAUGGAUGAAAGCGGGGGAUCGCAAGACCUCGCGCGAUUGGAGCGGCCGAUAUCAGAUUAGGUAGUUGGUGGGGUAAAGGCCCACCAAGCCAACGAUCUGUAGCUGGUCUGGGAGGACGACCAGCCACACUGGAACUGAGACACGGUCCAGACUCCUACGGGAGGCAGCAGUGGGGAAUUUUGGACAAUGGGCGAAAGCCUGGUCCAGCCAUUCCGCGUGCAGGAUGAAGGCCCUCGGGUUGUAAACUGCUUUUGUACAGAACGAAAAGGUUUCUACUAAUACUAGGAGCUCAUGACGGUACUGUAGGAAUAAGCACCGGCUAACUACGUGCCAGCCGCCGCGGUAA
RNAcentral lists this ribosomal RNA (500 nucleotides) under uncultured bacterium. RNAcentral describes it as "partial 16S ribosomal RNA". It matches the Rfam family "Bacterial small subunit ribosomal RNA", at positions 30 to 523 of the family's 1533-position model. The record is from RNAcentral.